Molecule: ribosomal RNA, 468 nt
Filed under: uncultured bacterium
Lineage: Bacteria
Description: partial 16S ribosomal RNA
Rfam family: Bacterial small subunit ribosomal RNA
Source: RNAcentral
GACGAACGCUGGCGGCGUGCUUAACACAUGCAAGUCGAACGGAAAGGCCCUGCUUUUGUGGGGUGCUCGAGUGGCGAACGGGUGAGUAACACGUGAGUAACCUGCCCUUGACUUUGGGAUAACUUCAGGAAACUGGGGCUAAUACCGGAUAGGAGCUCCUGCUGCAUGGUGGGGGUUGGAAAGUUUCGGCGGUUGGGGAUGGACUCGCGGCUUAUCAGCUUGUUGGUGGGGUAGUGGCUUACCAAGGCUUUGACGGGUAGCCGGCCUGAGAGGGUGACCGGCCACAUUGGGACUGAGAUACGGCCCAGACUCCUACGGGAGGCAGCAGUGGGGAUUAUUGCACAAUGGGCGGAAGCCUGAUCCAGCAACGCCGCGUGCGGGAUGACGGCCUUCGGGUUGUAAACCGCUUCCGCCUGUGACGAAGCGUGAGUGACGGUAAUGGGUAAAGAAGCACCGGCUAACUACGUG